AGCUCCCACGAGACAAUUCUGUAAUACACAAUACAAAAGAAAGUAACAGAGGGCAUGAUAUUAGAGAGGGUAUUUAUUUUACAAAAUUUCUUUUUCAGUUAUAUAGAUAUAUACGUGUAUGUAUGUAUUGAGUCACUAUAUGAAAUGUACUUCUUAUUGUGGGUGGUAGCCCAAAAGUUUGAAAACCACUGACUUGCUCUCUACCUGUGGCCUGAAAUGUUACAGAACAGUACGAUUGUCUAAACUGCAGCCAGGAAUGUGAGGAGAAGAAGGAGAGUCCUUAAUAACCUCCGCAACUAGAGCUAUGUAGGCAGGCAAUAUAUCUGUAGAGUGAUUCCUGGGCUUCCUGGCAAGCAGUGAAGUGCUUGUCUACAGGACUGCUUGCAGAGCCAAGGCAGACAACAGAGCUGGCCAAGCCAGGGUAUGUAUCUUUCCAGCCUGUUUCCAUGGCCAACUCCUCAAGGUAUCUAAUUAAAGGCCACGCAGACACAGGAGACAAGAGCCUUUGGAGAAAGAGGAGCUUGAAGAGGUUAAACAUUUUGAACUGCUUGCUACCUUCGGCUUUGGCCUAAAGGAACCCUGAGGGAUGCUUUGCAAAGAACCUGGCCUCCGGAAUCAAAAGUACAGAGACAAUCUACUGGAAUGUGUGGCUGCUUUAGUAUUUGGAGAAUAAUAAUAAGAAAAGCCAGAUGUCUUUAAAAAGCAGGAGAAGAUCACCUGAAACAAGAAGAAAAGCU
Molecule: long non-coding RNA, 737 nt
Filed under: Homo sapiens (human)
Lineage: Eukaryota; Metazoa; Chordata; Mammalia; Primates; Hominidae
Description: HSALNT0009172
Source: RNAcentral